This 576-nucleotide long non-coding RNA is filed under the name Nicotiana benthamiana. RNAcentral describes it as "long non-coding RNA (NBEN_LNC012327)". Lineage: Eukaryota; Viridiplantae; Streptophyta; Magnoliopsida; Solanales; Solanaceae. The record is from RNAcentral.
UAUGUCCUUCUUCAUUUGCCUCCACCAGUAAUGCUGCCUCAAAUCUUGAUGUAUCUUCAUGGCACCCGGAUGGAUGGAAUACCGCGAACUAUGAGCCUCUGCUUAUAUCAACUCUUGAAUAUAAUCAAUGUUGGGUACACAUACCUAACCCUGCAUCCUCAAUACCUCGUCCUCACUGAUAGUCACAUCUCUGGCAUCGCCAUGAUCAACCCUGUCCUUGAGGACAAGUAAAUGGGGGUCAUCAUACUAUCGUUCCCUGAUACGAUCAAACAAUGAAGACCGAGAAACCACACAAGCUAGAACCCGACUGGGCUCCAAAGAUCCAAUCUCACCAAAUGACUGGCUAAGGCCUGAACAUCCAUCUCCAUGGGUGUCUCUAAAGCUAGUAAAUAUGCUAAACUCCCCAAAAUCUCCGCCCGGCGACUCAAGGCAUCGACUACAAAUUGGCCUUGCCCGGGUAAUAAAGAAUAUUAAUAUCAUAAUCCUUCAGUAACUCCAACCAUCUCCUCUGGUGCAAGUUCAUAUCUUUUUUCUUGAAUAAGUGUUGUAAACUUCGAUGAUCCGUGUAAAUCUCAC